AAGGGCGUCGUACAAUGGUUAGUAUAAGGAUCUUCAAAAUCUGAGAUAGGUGUUCGAUUCACCUCGCCCUUG
RNAcentral lists this transfer RNA (72 nucleotides) under Cantharellus cibarius (golden chanterelle). Its description in RNAcentral is "tRNA-Trp". It matches the Rfam family "tRNA". Rfam says of the family: Transfer RNA (tRNA) molecules are approximately 80 nucleotides in length. Their secondary structure includes four short double-helical elements and three loops (D, anti-codon, and T loops). Further hydrogen bonds mediate the characteristic L-shaped molecular structure. tRNAs have two regions of fundamental functional importance: the anti-codon, which is responsible for specific mRNA codon recognition, and the 3' end, to which the tRNAs corresponding amino acid is attached (by aminoacyl-tRNA synthetases). tRNAs cope with the degeneracy of the genetic code in two manners: having more than one tRNA (with a specific anti-codon) for a particular amino acid; and 'wobble' base-pairing, i.e. permitting non-standard base-pairing at the 3rd anti-codon position. Lineage: Eukaryota; Fungi; Basidiomycota; Agaricomycetes; Cantharellales; Hydnaceae. The record is from RNAcentral.